This 219-nucleotide ribosomal RNA is filed under the name Macrotritopus defilippi. RNAcentral describes it as "partial small subunit ribosomal RNA". The record is from RNAcentral. Lineage: Eukaryota; Metazoa; Mollusca; Cephalopoda; Octopoda; Octopodidae.
AUGUGUAUAAGUGACAGCGCGGCGCUACAUAUUAGACUGAGACCGACGCGUACGGGCCGUCGCAGCAGCAGCCGCCGCGCUCCGCGCGCGGGUCCAGGCGUGCGGACGGCUUCACGCCCUUCGAUUUUGGUGACUCUGGAUAACUGUCAGUACGAUCGCACGGGCUAGUGUAGACUAGCCUUCGCGCGACGGGUCCCCCGCGAGUCCGCCCUAUCAACU